Molecule: long non-coding RNA, 1828 nt
Organism: Saccostrea cuccullata (small rock oyster)
Lineage: Eukaryota; Metazoa; Mollusca; Bivalvia; Ostreida; Ostreidae
Exons: 3
Source: RefSeq, a predicted model, not a curated record
GGACUAACAGGCACACGUUGGAUAGAUCGAGGAAAGAAAUAAAAUAGAUAGAUGAAAAUAUAACUAUUGAAUCACUAUAGAAACAAUGUUAUAAUAGGAACUACAUGUUUUGAGAGAUAUGGACACAAAGUACACUCUCUACCACAGAAUGUGAUGUCAACGUUUUAAAGAAUUGCGAAAAUAAUUUUUACGAUCAUAAACAGAUUUCCAAUGAUAUGCUGUAAAUGAUGAAGAAAAUGAUGAAAUUGUUAAUCUACAGGUUUCUGAAUAUUCUUCAGAAUAAACAGGGAAUUGAUUAUCAAAGGAUUUUAAAAUUAGUAUAAGAAGAUAUGACUAUACAUGUUUUUAGGAAGAAGAAAAAUACAUGUAUUAAAUAAUUGUGUUAUAGCUUGAAAGUUAUUGAUGCUUAAUAUUUGAUCAGUCAUGGCCUAGAAGGAUAGUUACAUUAGUAUGGAACACUAAAAGGGCCCCGAUGUUAAACACUCCAAUUUUUUACGAAUACUUACAUUAAAUGUUCUUUGGGAAAAUGAAAACCUUUAAAUAUUCUGAAUCCAAUGUUGAAAAGUAUAAUAAAUAAUUUAUGCCAUUUACAGGUUUUUGACAGUCCAGAUGUAGUACUUUAGAGCGUAGAUUUGGAAAGACUAGGACAUCCUACGUUUACCGGUUUAUUUACCUGGUAAGUUAAAUCUUACUCGAGCCGAAGGCUUACUGAGUUUUUUUAUCGACAUUUGUCUGAUUUUUCUCAAUUUGGUCUUCUUUUCCAAUCCACUGGACAAACUACAAUCAAAGCAUGGAACAAUUCACCCCUGGGUGAGGGGUAAUCAAAUUCACUUGGAGGGCUAUAUCCUCAUUGAAUGGGAGAAACUUCAGGAGAAGUGAAAAAUGAGGGAUAAUUAAUGGCAUUUUUUAAAAAAUCUUCUUCUUAAGAAUAAUUGGGCCAGCAAAGAUAAAACUUGUUUGGAAUCAUCCUUGAGUUGUAAAGAUUCAAAUUUAAUUAAAUCAUAACCACUAAUAGGAAGGAUGGGGUUACAAUAGACGAGCAAAGUUUUACAUAGAAAUGUAUAGGAAAACUCUUUGAAUAUUUUAAGAACAACAAGGCCAUACAUGGUCAUAUUGAUACACAUAUAGAAGCUUCCUUAGAUUAUUUGGAUUCAAAAUUGUUCCAAUCAUAUCCUCAGGUUUUGGUUGUUGCCACAAUGGAUCAACAUGUUUUCUAUAUAAAUGCAUUAGUAAAAUUCAUAAGAACAGCAAAGCCAUGAUUAAUGUCACAAUUUGUGAUAAAUGGCAUGGAAAUAAAUCCUUGCUGCAACCAAUCUUUGAAAAAGAACAAAGAGUACGUGCAAACAAAAGUUCGUUAAAGUGCUCAAAACAAUAUAUACACACUCCGAACACGCACACACACACAACACUCACACAAAACCCAAAAAGAACCUAAACAAAAAAAAUAAUAAUAAACAAAAAAAAUAAUAAAUGUGUCUAUACACCGACUAAAAUAUUGUCAAACCCGACCAGACGAAUGUUUCCUUGACACCUACACAAAACCGUCGAUCUUGCUACAAAUGUGACCCCAAGACGUUACCGUAUUGUUCGUUCUGUUCGCAUAUACACACACUGACACAGUCGUUGGUUUAUGUUAUCGUUGUUACACAGUCCACAUCGUCCGUCAACGUCUUAGUACGUAGGAUUUCCUCCAACGCUGUAGUAACAUCAUCCUAUAACGUCACACGUACGUUACUUGUAUACACAGCUGAUCAAGCUGGUCGCCUAUAAUAACACAUUAUUUCAAAGUCUGGGUUUCCAUAGUCGGUAAUAACGCAUCAAUAAGAAA